ACGGGUGAGUAAUACAUCGGAACGUGCCCAGUAGUGGGGGAUAGCCCGGCGAAAGCCGGAUUAAUACCGCAUACGACCUACGGGUGAAAGCGGGGGAUCGCAAGACCUCGCGCUAUUGGAGCGGCCGAUGUCAGAUUAGCUAGUUGGUGGGGUAAAAGCCUACCAAGGCGACGAUCUGUAGCUGGUCUGAGAGGACGACCAGCCACACUGGGACUGAGACACGGCCCAGACUCCUACGGGAGGCAGCAGUGGGGAAUUUUGGACAAUGGGCGCAAGCCUGAUCCAGCCAUGCCGCGUGCGGGAAGAAGGCCUUCGGGUUGUAAACCGCUUUUGUCAGGGAAGAAACGGCCUGAUCUAAUAAAUCGGGCUAAUGACGGUACCUGAAGAAUAAGCACCGGCUAACUACGUGCCAGCAGCCGCGGUAAUACGUAGGGUGCAAGCGUUAAUCGGAAUUACUGGGCGUAAAGCGUGCGCAGGCGGCUUUGCAAGACAGAUGUGAAAUCCCCGGGCUUAACCUGGGAACUGCAUUUGUGACUGCAUGGCUAGAGUGCGGCAGAUGGGGAUGGAAUUCCGCGUGUAGCAGUG
Molecule: ribosomal RNA, 585 nt
Filed under: proteobacterium StTD356
Lineage: Bacteria; Pseudomonadati; Pseudomonadota
Description: bacterial SSU rRNA
Rfam family: Bacterial small subunit ribosomal RNA
Source: RNAcentral